AAACUAUGAAAAUCAAAAUUAAGCUUCUAACUUAAAUUUUAAGCGAUGAAAUUUCGUUUAUAGUUUU
Molecule: transfer RNA, 67 nt
Filed under: Arescus labiatus
Lineage: Eukaryota; Metazoa; Arthropoda; Insecta; Coleoptera; Chrysomelidae
Description: tRNA-Ser
Source: RNAcentral